GGGGCUGUAGCUCAGUGGUAGAGCAUCUCAUUUGCAAUGAAGUUUUGGCUUCGAUACAACUUUGAGAAGGUCUGGGGUUCAAUCCCCCACGGCUCCA
RNAcentral lists this transfer RNA (97 nucleotides) under Sporisorium reilianum SRZ2. Its description in RNAcentral is "tRNA-Ala for anticodon UGC". It matches the Rfam family "tRNA". From Rfam's summary of the family: Transfer RNA (tRNA) molecules are approximately 80 nucleotides in length. Their secondary structure includes four short double-helical elements and three loops (D, anti-codon, and T loops). Lineage: Eukaryota; Fungi; Basidiomycota; Ustilaginomycetes; Ustilaginales; Ustilaginaceae. The record is from RNAcentral.